ACUCAGUCUUGUAAGAUUAGGGUACCCAUGUGGGCCCAGGGUGCAGUGGCUGCAAACUGCAGGCUCCCUGAUAGUAUAUGCAGCCUGUUGUCUGUACAGGUUGCCCUAAGGGACCUUGGAGACAGAC
This 127-nucleotide small nucleolar RNA is filed under the name Bison bison bison. RNAcentral describes it as "Small nucleolar RNA SNORA70 (ENSBBBG00000018549.1)". It matches the Rfam family "Small nucleolar RNA SNORA70". From Rfam's summary of the family: snoRNA U70 seems to be exclusive to mammals and is a member of the H/ACA class of snoRNA which contain H (ANANNA) and ACA box motifs. H/ACA box snoRNAs are involved in the conversion of uridines to pseudouridines (5-ribosyluracil) a constituent of structural RNAs (transfer, ribosomal, small nuclear, and small nucleolar). The record is from RNAcentral. Lineage: Eukaryota; Metazoa; Chordata; Mammalia; Artiodactyla; Bovidae.